UUUACUUUCUCAGUAACGAAGCUAACGCGUGAAGUUGACCGCCUGGGGAGUACGGCCGCAAGGUUAAAACUCAAAGGAAUUGACGGGGACCCGCACAAGCGGUGGAUGAUGUGGUUUAAUUCGAUGCAACGCGAAAAACCUUACCCACCUUUGACAUGUAUGGAAGAUCGCAGAGACGCGAUUGUGCUCGAAAGAGAGCCAUAACACAGGUGCUGCAUGGCUGUCGUCAGCUCGUGUCGUGAGAUGUUGGGUUAAGUCCCGCAACGAGCGCAACCCUUGCCAUUAGUUGCUACAUUUAGUUGGGCACUCUAAUGGGACUGCCGGUGACAAACCGGAGGAAGGUGGGGAUGACGUCAAGUCCUCAUGGCCCUUAUAGGUGGGGCUACACACGUCAUACAAUGGCUGGUACAAAGGGUUGCCAACCCGCGAGGGGGAGCCAAUCCCAUAAAGCCAGUCGUAGUCCGGAUCGCAGUCUGCAACUCGACUGCGUGAAGUCGGAAUCGCUAGUAAUCGUGGAUCAGAAUGUCACGGUGAAUACGUUCCCGGGUCUUGUACACACCGCCCGUCACACCAUGGGAGCGGGUUCUGCCAGAAGUAGGUAGCCUAACCGUAAGGAGGGCGCUUACCACGGCAGGGUUCGUGACUGGGGUGAAGUCGUAACAAGGUAGCCGUAUCGGAAGGUGCGGCUGGAUCACCUCCUU
This 701-nucleotide ribosomal RNA is filed under the name uncultured bacterium. RNAcentral's name for it is "bacterial SSU rRNA". It matches the Rfam family "Bacterial small subunit ribosomal RNA", at positions 831 to 1532 of the family's 1533-position model. The record is from RNAcentral.